GAUGAACGCUGGCGGCGUGCUUAACACAUGCAAGUCGAACGAGAAAUGGAGACGGAUACCUUCGGGCGGAAGGCUUCAUUUCGAGUGGCGGCCGGGUGAGUAACGCGCGGGUAGCCUGCCUCAUACAGGGGGAUAACAGUUGGAAACGACUGUUAAUACUGCAUAAGACGACAGCACCGCAUGGUGCGGGGGUGAAAACUCCGGUGGUAUGAUCUGGACCCGCGUUCGAUUAGCCAGUUGGCAGGGUAACGGCCCACCAAAGUGACGAUCGAUAGCCGAGAUGAGAGACUGGCCGGCGACACUGGGGCGGGGACACGGCACGAAAUCCUACGGGAGGCAGCAGUGGGGAAUGGUGCACAGUGGCGGGAACGCUGAUGGAGCGAGGCCGCUAGAGUGAAGUAGUUAUUCGGUAUGUAAAGCGCAAGUAGCAGGGAAGAAAAUGACGGUACCUGAGCAGGAAGCCCCGGCUAACUACGUG
Molecule: ribosomal RNA, 478 nt
Filed under: uncultured bacterium
Lineage: Bacteria
Description: partial 16S ribosomal RNA
Rfam family: Bacterial small subunit ribosomal RNA
Source: RNAcentral